UCAACCCUUGCCUAGAUUACCGUUUUCUUGCGCAAAAUAUAGCUAAUACCAGUUCAGAAAAGAGGAAACUGGGCAGUCGUUUUGAAGUUUGGAACUUUGAAUACUUCGAGGUUUCCUUUAUCAAGCUUUGAGAGGUCUUUUUCCUUCUUGGAACAGAAACCCAGCAAUCCUUCCAUCGGUCAUUGGUUUGUGUCUUUGUGAACUCC
This 206-nucleotide long non-coding RNA is filed under the name Populus tremula. Its description in RNAcentral is "long non-coding RNA (PTRE_LNC001975)". The record is from RNAcentral. Lineage: Eukaryota; Viridiplantae; Streptophyta; Magnoliopsida; Malpighiales; Salicaceae.